RNAcentral lists this ribosomal RNA (1200 nucleotides) under Campylobacter coli. RNAcentral's name for it is "partial 23S ribosomal RNA". It matches the Rfam family "Bacterial large subunit ribosomal RNA", at positions 1 to 1216 of the family's 2925-position model. Lineage: Bacteria; Pseudomonadati; Campylobacterota; Epsilonproteobacteria; Campylobacterales; Campylobacteraceae. The record is from RNAcentral.
AAAAAAGGUAAGCUACUAAGAGCGAAUGGUGGAUGCCUUGACUGGUAAAGGCGAUGAAGGACGUACUAGACUGCGAUAAGCUACGGGGAGCUGUCAAGAAGCUUUGAUCCGUAGAUUUCCGAAUGGGGCAACCCAAUGUAUAGAGAUAUACAUUACCUAUAUAGGAGCGAACGAGGGGAAUUGAAACAUCUUAGUACCCUCAGGAAAAGAAAUCAAUAGAGAUUGCGUCAGUAGCGGCGAGCGAAAGCGUAAGAGGGCAAACCCAGUGCUUGCACUGGGGGUUGUAGGACUGCAAUGUGCAAGAGGUGAGUUUAGCAGAACAUUCUGGAAAGUAUAGCCAUAGAGGGUGAUAGUCCCGUAUGCGAAAAACAAACCUUAGCUAGCAGUAUCCUGAGUAGGGCGGGACACGAGAAAUCCUGUCUGAAGCUGGGUCGACCACGAUCCAACCCUAAAUACUAAUACCAGAUCGAUAGUGCACAAGUACCGUGAGGGAAAGGUGAAAAGAACUGAGGUGAUCAGAGUGAAAUAGAACCUGAAACCAUUUGCUUACAAUCAUUCAGAGCCCUAUGUAGCAAUACAGGGUGAUGGACUGCCUUUUGCAUAAUGAGCCUGCGAGUUGUGGUGUCUGGCAAGGUUAAGCAAACGCGAAGCCGUAGCGAAAGCGAGUCUGAAUAGGGCGCUUAGUCAGAUGCUGCAGACCCGAAACGAAGUGAUCUAUCCAUGAGCAAGUUGAAGCUAGUGUAAGAACUAGUGGAGGACUGAACCCAUAGGCGUUGAAAAGCCCCGGGAUGACUUGUGGAUAGGGGUGAAAGGCCAAUCAAACUUCGUGAUAGCUGGUUCUCUCCGAAAUAUAUUUAGGUAUAGCGUUGUGUCGUAAUAUAAGGGGGUAGAGCACUGAAUGGGCUAGGGCAUACACCAAUGUACCAAACCCUAUCAAACUCCGAAUACCUUAUAUGUAAUCACAGCAGUCAGGCGGCGAGUGAUAAAAUCCGUCGUCAAGAGGGAAACAACCCAGACUACCAGCUAAGGUCCCUAAAUCUUACUUAAGUGGAAAACGAUGUGAAGUUACUUAAACAACCAGGAGGUUGGCUUAGAAGCAGCCAUCCUUUAAAGAAAGCGUAAUAGCUCACUGGUCUAGUGAUUUUGCGCGGAAAAUAUAACGGGGCUAAAGUAAGUACCGAAGCUGUAGACUUGAUUUUA